RNAcentral lists this ribosomal RNA (778 nucleotides) under uncultured Neocallimastigales. RNAcentral's name for it is "partial large subunit ribosomal RNA". It matches the Rfam family "Eukaryotic large subunit ribosomal RNA", at positions 23 to 647 of the family's 3401-position model. The record is from RNAcentral. Lineage: Eukaryota; Fungi; Neocallimastigomycota; Neocallimastigomycetes; Neocallimastigales.
AGAUGCGAGAGUAGAGCAUAUCAAUAAGCGGAGGAAAAGAAACUAACAAGGAUUCCCUUAGUAACGGCGAGUGAAGCGGGAAGAGCUCAAAUUUGAAAUCUUCAAGGGUUUACCUUUACGAAUUGUAGUUUAAAGAAGUGUUUUCUGUUGGAGUUUCGGUAAAAGUUCUUUGGAAUAGGACAUCAUAGAGGGUGAGAAUCCCGUAUUUGACCAUUAUUUUCAACUGUGUGAUACACUUUCAAAGAGUCGGAUUGUUUGGGAAUGCAGUCCAAAAUGGGUGGUAAAUUUCAUCUAAAGCUAAAUAUUGGCGAGAGACCGAUAGCGAACAAGUACCGUGAGGGAAAGAUGAAAAGAACUUUGAAAAGAGAGUUAAACAGUACGUGAAAUUGUCAAAAGGGAAGCGUUUGACACCAGUGUUGUUUUUCCGAAAAUCAAUUACGAAUGUUUUAUUUUUGAGGAGUUAUGACUUCAUCGGCUUGCUCCUUUCUUUAUGAAACUUUCUUAAUGCACUUUUCGGUUAACAAGUCAACAUCAAUUUCUUUUGUUGUAAAAGGGUCAUUGAGGAAGGUGGCUUUCAUUUCGGAUGAAAGUGUUUAUAGCCUUGUACCUCUGCAAUCGGAGAGAUUGAGGUCUGCAGCGUAGAUCCUUCGGGGUUAGAUACAUUUGUGCUAAGUUAUAGCUUUUCAUAGACAACUUGUUGACUAUGAUUAGUCAUUGUAGCUUACUCGCUAUGCUCUAUUUUACCUACGCUUAGGAUGUUGACGAGACUGUCGAUCUC